AUGGAGGAGAUCUCAGCUUCGGUGGUGAUGACAGAACAUGAAUUCGGUUCUGCUCCUAAACCAGGUGCACUGGAUGCUGCUGCUGUACGCAUACAGCAAUUGGAAGAAACAGUUAAGGAGCUGAUGAGAGCUGUCACAGCUGAAAGUGGUUCAAGACUUCAAGUGCCUUUUCACAGAUUUUGUGUCUCAGACAAGGACAUCCUUUUUUACACCAGAUUCACAUCAAGAGAUGUUUUUUGUGACUUCUGGGAGGUUAUUCAACCAUCUGCCUCCAUGUUGGUUUAUUGUUCAAAAGCUCAGAAAAAGAAACAAACAUUUGAACCCCUUUCUCCCAAUCCAACGUGUAGACUGCAACUGGUUGAGUUUUUUCUCUUCUGCUGCCGGGUUGCUGCAGGCCUGCAAGAGAAGGUGCUGGCUGACAUGUUUCAGGUCAGUGUGUCCACUGUCUCCCAUGUUGUUAUACCGUGGGCCAACUACCGUUACCUGCUCCUUGGCUCCCUCCCCAUCUGGAUAAGUAAACAGCAAGUCCACCAUGCCAAGCAAAUUUGUGCAGUACAGUCCAGAUGAUGAUGUUCGGGUAAUCAUCGACUGCACCUCGGUGCAGUCGAUGAUUACCCGAACAUCAUCUUACAAGAACACAACAACCUUUAAGGCCUUGAUUGGGAUUGCCCCUUGUAGUGCUGUGACUUUUGUGUCAAGUCGCUUCACCGGCUCCAUCUCCGACCCAGAGCUGACUGAACGAAGUGGACUACUGGAUUUACUGGAGCCAGGAGAUGGCUGCAUGGCAGACAAGGGUUUCACCAUCGAGAAGCCACUAGCUGAUCGUGGGGCAACGCUGAUUAUACCACUCUUCAAGAUGACAGGUAGGCAUGAAAGGAAUGAACAUUUCAAAUUAAAACUUUGACCCAAAUGUGGCCAUUAAGAUAUGUAGACAAAUGUUUAAGAUGGACUGAAGCACUCACAAUAAUAAUGCUAAUUAACUUAUCUCUAACCACUGCGCAGUUCACCGAAGAGGAUGCUCUGAAAACACAAGCAAUCGCCCGACUUCGAAUCCUCGUAGAAAGAGCAAUGGGCAGAGUCAAGGAAUACCGCAUCUGGGAACGCACUGUCCUUUCACCUUGUCUGCGACAGUCAACCAGCUGUGGACCGUCUGCUGUGUGAUGACCAACUUCCGGGGACCACUUGAUUUAAAAGGCUACAUCCCUGUUGAAUAGUGUUUCUACUCAAACAUGUACCUAUAAAUAUAAUAUAUAAAUAUUUAAACGAGAGGCACUGAACAUUUGGAGUGGUCCCUUCAUUUUUUCCGGAGCUGCAAUUCUGUAUACUGAAAACAUUGUAUAUAUUGAAUGACAUGUAUGUAAUUGAAUGAGAAGUCUUUCAUCUAUAAUCAAUUUUAAAGUCCAGACAGUCCAUCCUGAAAGUAUUCAAAAUAAUGUUAAUAUGUAAUGUAGUAAAUUAUGUACUCAGAAAAUGGGAAUGAAUUAAAUCCUUUUAUUCUUUCAGUUCCUUUAUUCAUUCAGUUCAUUUCACAUUCAUUUCACUUUCUGCUGAAGAUACACAUUCAUAUAUGUACCAAAGAAGUACAAGUCUACCUUAUUUUUC
Molecule: long non-coding RNA, 1602 nt
Organism: Gadus morhua (Atlantic cod)
Lineage: Eukaryota; Metazoa; Chordata; Actinopteri; Gadiformes; Gadidae
Source: Ensembl